This 69-nucleotide transfer RNA is filed under the name Ictidomys tridecemlineatus (thirteen-lined ground squirrel). RNAcentral's name for it is "Spermophilus tridecemlineatus (thirteen-lined ground squirrel) tRNA". It matches the Rfam family "tRNA". From Rfam's summary of the family: Transfer RNA (tRNA) molecules are approximately 80 nucleotides in length. The record is from Rfam by way of RNAcentral. RNAcentral also lists the same sequence under 1 other name. Lineage: Eukaryota; Metazoa; Chordata; Mammalia; Rodentia; Sciuridae.
GGGGUUGUGGCUCAGUGGUAGAGCGCUCAACUAGCACAUGUGAGGCACUGGGUUCGAUCCUCAGCACCA